Asparagus officinalis (garden asparagus) is the source of this 416-nucleotide long non-coding RNA. RefSeq lists it as uncharacterized. Lineage: Eukaryota; Viridiplantae; Streptophyta; Magnoliopsida; Asparagales; Asparagaceae. The transcript is spliced from 2 exons. The record is from RefSeq and is a predicted model, not a curated record.
GGAGGAGGGGUGGGGACGGCGGGUGAUCAAUCUCAACCUCGUCGGCAUUUCUACACCUGUCCAUUGAUUUUGAGCUUGUAUGGGUUAAUGGGUAGUUGUUUUAAUUUCUACUGAAGUCCAUUGAUCGUGGGGGGGAAAAUCUACGUUUUGUGGUGAAUAGUUCUCUGUUUCUAUUGGGUUGGAACUGAUGUACUGGAAGAUGAUCAAAACAGUGAAGCUGAAGAACCUGGUUCUUUACCAAGUGAACCUGAUCGCUCUCCUGGUGCUCGUCCUAGAAGCUGAAAAAAUCUACGCUUUAUAUGGUUACCUUGUAUUUAUAGAGUUCUCUACAACCCAGAGCAUUCGGAUGGACAUUGUAUAUAUGUUUAUAAAUUCUUUGUAAUUCUUAACUUCAAUGUAAUCGCUAUUGUUUUGUC